CACUUACGGGUUGAGUUGGCCUGUGACUUUCACAGGACCAACAUCCACCACUCGUAUCGUUUCGUUAUUUUAUAUUUUUUUAAUUUGUUUUUUUUUUGCGUUUUGUUCGACACAUUUUGUUGGUUUGUUGGAAGUUAGCCAGUGAAUUCAAUAGUUGAGAAGUUUUGAACAAGGCAAAGACCAAUUCCCUGAAAACCGAAAUAUCUGAGGAUGAGACAACCGAGUCCCAACAUUUCAGCCGCAGUCUCACCGCAGUCUCAUCAAAAUACAUCCAAGCAGAUUUCCUGGACUUCAAACCAAAGUUAUGGUAUCAUUUUUUUAAUUGAAUUGUUUUUCCGAUAACAGUAAAAAAUACAAAAAUAUACAAAAAAAGAAACCUAGAUUUACGUAGAAAUUAGAUUCCACUUAUGAAAUCCGAUAAGAGAAAUUUUUCUAUUCAUAGUACAUGUUAUCCAAAUCGUAAAACUUUUAGCUGCUUUGAACAUAAAAUUAAUCCAAUAAUAGUUAAGACACAAAUGUAAUAGAAUUCUCUUUAUUGCAAAAUACGAAACAUUCCAGCGUGCAAGACAAUCAUUAACAAUUGGGAACAAUUAUGCCUUAUUAAUUAUAUGGAACUAUAAAGUGCCCAUUGUUUGUAUAUAUUGUCACACAUUAAAUUUAACUCACAUGUAAUAAGUACCACAAUUUACUGUCAAAAACAAUUUGCUACUAUUUAAAAUAAAAUUUUCCUCUCUUCCACUCAAA
Molecule: long non-coding RNA, 744 nt
Organism: Folsomia candida
Lineage: Eukaryota; Metazoa; Arthropoda; Collembola; Entomobryomorpha; Isotomidae
Exons: 2
Source: RefSeq, a predicted model, not a curated record